Non-coding RNA from Pangasius djambal, 86 nucleotides. The record is from the annotation of a GenBank genome assembly. NCBI's taxonomy places the organism in Eukaryota, Metazoa, Chordata, Actinopteri, Siluriformes, Pangasiidae.
CCUUUGCUAGCUCAGUUGGUAGCGCGGAGGACUGUAGUGGUUAAACAGUGAUCCUUAGGUCGCUGGUUCGAAUCCGGCUCGAAGGA